CAGUCGCCGCGGUAGUACGAAGGGGGCUAGCGUUGCUCGGAAUGACUGGGCGUAAAGGGCGCGUAGGCGGCGAUCAAAGUCAGGCGUGAAAUUCCUGGGCUCAACCUGGGGGCUGCGUUUGAUACUUGAUUGCUAGAGUGGGGAAGAGGGUCGUGGAAUUCCCAGUGUAGAGGUGAAAUUCGUAGAUAUUGGGAAGAACACCGGUGGCGAAGGCGGCGACCUGGUCCUUGACUGACGCUGAGGCGCGAAAGCGUGGGGAGCAAACAGGAUUAGAUACCCCCGUAGUCCCUGUCUCUUAUAC
Molecule: ribosomal RNA, 301 nt
Filed under: uncultured bacterium
Lineage: Bacteria
Description: partial 16S ribosomal RNA
Rfam family: Bacterial small subunit ribosomal RNA
Source: RNAcentral